GUUGGGUUUUUGUUGUUGUUGUUGUUGUUGUUGUUCUGUUUUGUUUUUGCAGUACCCAGGAUUGAACUCAGGACUUUGCCCUUGCAAGGCAGGUGCGGUGCCACUGAGCUAAGUCCCAAGCCCACCUAUAGUGGUUUUAAAACAUGCUCAUUCGAUCUGGUCAGUUUUCUCUCUCUCCAAGCAUCCUAAAUAAUAAGGUGGAAACUGAUGACAAUCUCCACCCCCUAAG
RNAcentral lists this long non-coding RNA (229 nucleotides) under Fukomys damarensis (Damara mole-rat). RNAcentral's name for it is "lncRNA (ENSFDAG00000030129.1)". Lineage: Eukaryota; Metazoa; Chordata; Mammalia; Rodentia; Bathyergidae. The record is from RNAcentral.